This 373-nucleotide ribosomal RNA is filed under the name uncultured organism. Its description in RNAcentral is "partial 16S ribosomal RNA". It matches the Rfam family "Bacterial small subunit ribosomal RNA", at positions 527 to 896 of the family's 1533-position model. The record is from RNAcentral.
GUAGGUGGCAAGCGUUGUCCGGAAUUAUUGGGCGUAAAGCGCGCGCAGGCGGUCCUUUAAGUCUGAUGUGAAAGCCCACGGGCUCAACCAUGGAGGGUCAUUGGAAACUGGGGGACUUGAGUACAGAAGAGGAAAGCGGAAUUCCAAGUGUAGCGGUGAAAUGCGUAGAGAUUUGGAGGAACACCAGUGGCGAAGGCGGCUUUCUGGCCUGUAACUGACGCUGAGGCGCGAAAGCGUGGGGAGCAAACAGGAUUAGAUACCCUGGUAGUCCACGCCGUAAACGAUGAGUGCUAAGUGUUAGGGGGUUUCCGCCCCUUAGUGCUGCAGCUAACGCAUUAAGCACUCCGCCUGGGGAGUACGGCCGCAAAGGCUG